RNAcentral lists this ribosomal RNA (861 nucleotides) under uncultured Streptococcus sp. RNAcentral describes it as "bacterial SSU rRNA". It matches the Rfam family "Bacterial small subunit ribosomal RNA", at positions 28 to 873 of the family's 1533-position model. Lineage: Bacteria; Bacillati; Bacillota; Bacilli; Lactobacillales; Streptococcaceae. The record is from RNAcentral.
GACGAACGCUGGCGGCGUGCCUAAUACAUGCAAGUAGAACGCUGAAGGAGGAGCUUGCUUCUCUGGAUGAGUUGCGAACGGGUGAGUAACGCGUAGGUAACCUGCCUGGUAGCGGGGGAUAACUAUUGGAAACGAUAGCUAAUACCGCAUAAGAGUAGAUGUUGCAUGACAUUUGCUUAAAAGGUGCAAUUGCAUCACUACCAGAUGGACCUGCGUUGUAUUAGCUAGUUGGUGGGGUAACGGCUCACCAAGGCGACGAUACAUAGCCGACCUGAGAGGGUGAUCGGCCACACUGGGACUGAGACACGGCCCAGACUCCUACGGGAGGCAGCAGUAGGGAAUCUUCGGCAAUGGACGGAAGUCUGACCGAGCAACGCCGCGUGAGUGAAGAAGGUUUUCGGAUCGUAAAGCUCUGUUGUAAGAGAAGAACGAGUGUGAGAGUGGAAAGUUCACACUGUGACGGUAUCUUACCAGAAAGGGACGGCUAACUACGUGCCAGCAGCCGCGGUAAUACGUAGGUGGCAAGCGUUAUCCGGAUUUAUUGGGCGUAAAGAGAGUGCGGGCGGUUUUCUAAGUCUGAUGUGAAAGCCUUCGGCUUAACCGGGAGAAGUGCAUCGGAAACUGGAUAACUUGAGUGCAGAAGAGGGGUAGUGGAACUCCAUGUGUAGCGGUGGAAUGCGUAGAUAAAGGAAGAACACCACUGGCGAAGGCGGCUACCUGGUCUGCAACUGACGCUGAGACUCGAAGCAUGGGUAGCGAACGGAUAAGAUAACCUUGUAUUCCAGGGCGAGUUCCACGUGGAUGUGAGCGUAUCGAGCCGCCGCCCUCAGGGGGGGCGGGGGACCAGGAUUUGUUCCCUCG